This 204-nucleotide long non-coding RNA is filed under the name Setaria viridis. RNAcentral's name for it is "long non-coding RNA (SVIR_LNC008710)". The record is from RNAcentral. Lineage: Eukaryota; Viridiplantae; Streptophyta; Magnoliopsida; Poales; Poaceae.
GAAAACGUACUCAUCAAAGACAACAUUGCGAGAGAUGAUGACUCGACGAGUGGACAAGUCAAGGCAGUGUGUUAGGUCCUAGCUUCUUGCGAAGGCAGGACGCAGCAAGGUUGGUGGAGCAAAAAUGAACGCGAGCCGUCCUUUCAAUAAAUGUAGAACGUAAAAAAUUACAACAAGGUGAGGUCUCCCUUUCAUAGUGUCCGG